GAUUUAUUAACCAUUUUUUAGAUGUUGGUGCUUAAGGGACUGUAUAGUUGGUAGGUUUGUUACUUUUUUUUAGUAACAACUUUCCUUUUCUUGGCUCUUUCGUCUGACGUUCUGUAUAAUAUGGAUACCUCUGUGUCUGUUGUUUCGCACAAGUCAACUUGCAUUCUAAUAUCGGAUGUAAUAUGAUUAAUUUUUUGUUGUACAUAGUUAUUUCCUAUAAUUGGUUGUAUGUUUUGCUUUCUUUCAAUUUGGAUUUCCUUGCUGCAUGGAAAGUAUACGCUAGCUAUAGUAUCUAUGCAUGUGAAUUAUCGUAAUUAUGUACUGUAUGUUAAAAAUUUUGAAGUAUGAACAAAAUACGUCUGCACUUUUUGGAGGAUGAUACCAAACUGGAUCAUUCUGUUCAGUAUGAAUAUGUUUGUGUGAAUAUUUAUAUACAUACUUACAGAUUUUGAGGAACUGAGUUGGAAAAGAGUGAGUUUCUCAAAUGUUUGUGAAACUACACAAGUUUCGUUAUUUUAUUAAAAAAAGUUCACUUUCUAAGUAUCGCUAUAUAUUUGUAAACUUAUAAUUACAUCGUUUCGUGAAAGAGAUGUUUUAUUUGCUUAUGUUUCUUGGAAUUAUAUAAACAUUUUAAUUAUUAGCCAUUAUGAGAAAAUUGAUUUAUUUUUGUAAUAUUGAUAAAUACUUAAAGUGAAUAUCAGCAUUAAUUAUAUAAACAUGUAUACAUAUGCGUGUAUAGGUUUUUGUGCAUCCAGAUUAAUAUCCAAAAAAAGCGAAAAUAUACUCAAUUUAUUUAUCUAGCGUUUGUUUCAAGAUUAUUAUACUUCUUCCUAUGUACGUGUGAGUAUUUGAAAUUAAUAUUAUUACUUAUAUAAUGUGCGUGAAAUUUGCGUGGGUAUGUUUUUAUCACAUUUAUAAAUAAAUAAGAGAAAAGAAUUUUUAUAAUGGCAUUAUUUUAUACUAUUAUUAUACUAUUAUUAUACUUGAAAAAUCGUUUACGUUUUCCUUAAGGUACACAAAAGCAAUUUUCUUAUUAAUUAAAAGCAGUUCUACGCAAUUUUCUCUAGCUACUACUAACAUUUUCUUCUAGUGCAAGAUAUAUAACAGGAGGCAGUGAAAGAUUCGAUCUCCUAAUAUGUGAAUGAGCGUCGGUGCCGUUUGUUCGCUAUGAUAGAAAUGCAUCAUAAUCAUUUAUCAGGAAUCAGCAAGAUGUGCAUGUCUUAUGUUGCUCCAGGGGUAUCUAAUGAGGUUUAUCGUGGGUGUGUGGUAGAGUAAAUGGAUCCUUUCGUAUUUUCGGGAUUUGGUUGCUAGCUUACUCGUGACUUGGGGAAUUCCGUUAGUGAAUACUCGUCGUUUAAUAAUAUUUAGCGUGUAGUUCUCAAAGAAGAUUUUGCUAAAGCGAUUGCAAGAGAUUUUAUCGGUUAUGAGUCCAACACUACCCUAGUUCUUUCUUAUCGAAUCGGUGUAUAUUGUGUGUCUGUCCGUGUGUAUGUAUUCACAAUUAGGUGCAAAAAGGAAAGAAGAUAACAUUCAUAUUGAAACUAUAUAGUAUCAUUUUGAAAUUUUAGUAUCAUUUCUUUAUCAACCACUAUAAGUACUUAAUCAAAUUAAUAAUAAUAUUAAUUUUAACUCCUGCGUGUUUCUUUCUAAUAGGUGUAUUUACAAAUACUUAUGUUAACCAAAAUAAGAACAAAAAUAUUUUAAAUAAAAUUAUAUUUUUAAAUAGGAUUAUUUCGAAAAUUAUUAUAAAUUUUCUUGAUCGAUUAUUUAUUUCUAAUUAUUAUUUUAAAAGUUAAAUAAGUAUGCAUAUACAUACUCGCAUAUGUAUCUUUCUCUCUUUCCUUCUUUUUCUCUAUCUCUUCUUUUUUCUAUCUCUUUCAUUCUCUUCUUCUCUUCUUUUCUUCUUUCUCCAAUGAAUAUACGUAUAUCUUCAAAAAGAUUAAAGAAAAUAUUUCAAAUUGAAUAAUCUAAUGUUCUUUUAUAAAUUUUUAUUUCUCUGUGAAAGUUUUUUAUUAAUUAAGCAAUUAAUAUUGCAAUUUCGGAAUACUGUUUUACUCCAUGUGACUUAACAUAAUAAAAAUAGUAGAUGUAAUGAAUGGUAAAUAGUGUUUAGGGAUGUACGUUUAUGAAAUAAUAAAGAUCGAAAUAAUAAAUGUGAUUUGAAAGAAGAAAACAAGUAUCUUUGGAAAUAUCGGUAGCAAGAAAGAUGAUGAUGAUAGUAUAAAAAGUGAUGAAAAUUAAUUGUCAAUUGUUGAAGAAAGCUCAACACAGUUAAUUGCACAGACUUAUUGCGUAAAGGGAUAUUGUGUUGCUGCCUUGCAUGGGCAUGUAAACAGUAUUUUAUUAAUACUAUUUACAGCUAUGUAAAAAGUUGCCUUCUUAAUAACCUAUCUAGCAGUCUGUAGCGUUCGCAUAACACAUUUUUCCUAAGCGAGCUUUCGUUAGGUAAUCGCUUGCCUUGAUUUAUAAAUAAUUCCUAAGCUCAGGGAACAAUCUAUAUUCUCUGAAUACCUUCAGAGGUUGUUGUUAAGAUUGUUGUUAAGCUUGCGUACACUGCUCUUCCUUUUGGUAGUUAGAAUCUGAAUAGAGUUUUUCACCAACUGGGUUCUUUUCAAUUUUUUUUUUAUUUGAAACUUUCAAGCAAAGAAAAAUAUGAAAAAUGGUAAUUUUUUUUUAACAUCGAAUAUAUAUUUUUUUAUUUAUCGAAUAUAUAUAUAUUUUUUAAUGAACCAUUUAGUUCAGCUAUUUAUUUUCUACGAGAAAAUAUUAAAACACUUACAUAAAAAAAUCAUUAGUUUCGGAAAUAUUUUCAUCUAAAACUUGAAAACAUGACUAUCUCUACAAUAAUGACAGGUGAAACUUUAAUGAUGAAACUUUAAACGAAUGAUUUCAUAUUUUAUUGUCGGUAAUAUCAAAUAAUCAAGUGUUUAAUAAUAUCAAACGCGUUCCAUGGAAACGGUACGAAAAUUCGUUUAAUUUUAUUCGUCAUAUAGGUCUACUAUUUAACGCAUAUGCUUACUUCGGUUUAUACAAUUGGGUCACAAAUUAUUGCUUUUGAAUUAUUAUAAAUUAUGCUAUUAAAAAAAAUUUUAAAUAAAUCUCUUAAAAGAUUUUGUGAAAAUUCCUCGUUUUGGAGAGAAAUAUACAGAAAUUGUUUUCUUGUUAUUAUUAACUGGAAAGUUUAGUGCCAGAAAUAGUAAUUUGAUGUUAGCUGCAAUGGCAAUACCAAUAAUAAGCUAUCAAAAUUGCGUAAUUGAUAUAGACGAUACGUUUGAUAAGGGCUCAAAUAAUUUAAACUGGGGUUGAAAUAGUAAUGACAAAUAUAAUUCGAACAGUUGUUUAAUUAACGUCAUUGAUACGAGACUAAUAUAAAAUCACAAAUAUAUAUGUAAUAUCGAGAAUUUUAGUCGAUCCUUUGUCGUGAAAUGUGAGUGAGUCUGUGUGCAUAAGUGUAUCGUCCCUUGUUUCGAUCCACUUUCCAAGGCUUUAUUUAGAGUGAAUGAAUGUAUGUGUGUACGUAUGCUUGUAGAGCCCAAGUGAGGCUUGGAUUUACAAAGAAAAGGAUAAAAGGGAAGGCGAACGUGAUGAUUGAAACAGGACAGCUUUAAGAAAGACGAAGCAACUAAGACGCGACUUAAAACGUUUUUCAUUUUUCUGUCUAGUUUUUAUUAAUUUUCUUUAGUAAAUUUUUUAUUUUAUUAAAAUCACUGAUACUACAUAUAAUUCAUACUGAUCGAUUUUUAUCAUUUUUUAUUAUGUAACUAUGUGUGAUUGUAUAAGUUUAAAAUUUGUUUUUUUUGUUUUUUUCCAUUGCUAAAAAUAACUAUAAUAACAUUUAUGUUUUUAACAUAAUAACAAUAUUAACUAUAAUAACAAUUACAUUUAUGUUUCCUCCAAAGGUAUACCAAAUUUUCGAAACACGGAUUUUUAACAAAAUUGAGUUUUAAUACGUUUUAAUGUUUUUGCCAUGUUUUAACGAUUUAGGACUAUUGUGUGGCGUGAAAAAUGUAUUUUACAUUUUAUGCGAACAAUAUUCGACGUUUCGAAUCUAUUUUUGAUGUUUAGACGACAUUGUUAAAGUAUUACAUUCAUAUAAAACGAUGUUGCGUCGUGAGGACGCAACUAUAAGAGCGUGUUUAACUGCGUUUUUCGCAUCUGACUAGCAAUGGUAUUAUUCUCACGGAGAAUCUAAUCUCUGUUUCUUCUUAAUAGUCAGUGUGAUAGACCUAUUGAUCGCGGUAAAUAAGGAUGGUGGCACAAAAUACCGACCGCGGUAUUCUUGCAAAUUGAUAGAAGAAUAUAAUUAUUUUAAAGGAUCUCAUAGAGCUCGUGAAGUAGAUGCGCGAGAAAGAAUACUUUGUGAAUAGAAGUUAUAAUACUACAUUUAAAGUAAAGUAAGAGUUAUAGUUGUUGUGAAUUUCGUGUUUUGUUGUGUUACGUUACUUGUUACUUGGCGGUUUCUGAAAGGGAUAUAAUGUGCGGUAAUGUUUAGUAAGACUAUACUUUUGAUGAGUUGAAUUGAAAAGUUGUAGGUUGACUGACUUUUUGGAGUCUCUCGAUCUAUUCGCGAAAACAAUAAUGCGAUUAGAAAAGGGAAAUGGAAAGGAAAGAGUUUGAGUCAAAAUCGAAUAUGGAAAGAGAAGGAACGAUGCUUAUUGGUGGAGGAUGCGUUAGAAUAAUUUGUUGGGAAUGUUUAAACAAUUCCAUGUGUGCCAUUUUCUUCUGAUGAUAGUGUCGAUUGGCAGACACCAAAUGGGCACUUCAAAAAUAGACAUUAAUCUUUGAUUCUAAGAUAUUUAUUUGUUGCCUAGCUCGACUUAUUAUUAAAAACUACAUGCUUGACUAAAAUGCCUAAGCACGAACAAAGCUGGCAAUGUGUUUUUUAUCUAUGUAUUUUCUGAGCGAAUAUCCAACGAAUUUCUAAGGGCAGAUAUUCUAUAUAUUGAUAUAUGGCCCUUAGGAGAUAGUACUGGGACUUACUACGCACCUGUGCAUCAACAUACUGGCUCCUUGAACGGUCGCGUUUAAAACAAAAGAGAAGAAAGACAUUCAUUGGAGAUUUACUAAGAUAUAGUGUUUGAUAUGAAGUAGUGAAUUAAUGAUUUAUCGUACUAUGCGUUCAUUCAUGUAUGAUAAUUUGUGUGUAUAAUAUGUAUCUGUCUUGUAUGAAUAAUUUAUAAGCUAAUGUGUGUUGCACUUAUAAGAUAAUGAAAUUAUAUAUAAUCAAGAUAUGUCUGCAUUUAGCUGUUAUCGGUAAGCAAAGGAUAAGGGCCCUUGAUGCUGCGUUUAUAGAUCUUAAUAGCCGUUUGAACCGAGGCUAUCCGAACGAUGCCAGGAUGUGUAUCAAUGAUGCAACCUAUCGACCAGUAGUGCGUUGUCCUCCUUAAGGAGCAUGAGUGUGUCGAUCUUAAGAUCAUUUGUUCCCCCUCGAUGCCAUUUCCUCCUCGCCGUCAGCUCAUAAAAUGAUAUUCUCGUCGGACUAUGAAAAAUAAUAGGGGGAAAUGAAUCAUGCUUUCAACUGGCUUGCGCCUGCAUUGUGUCUGGGAGUCGGGGUAGAAGCUUUUCGAUGAGAGUUGGACCAGCGAAAGUUAUUCCGUUUGGAGACACUAAUGUGACCAGUGCUAACAAAUUCCAAAAGAUGAAAGACGAUUUAAAAAGGAAGACGAGCGUGCAAACGGAAGUAGCUGAGAAAUGCCAAAAAAUUAGAAAGUGACGUUAAGAAUCGCCGACGUUCUACACUUCAUGGCCUUGACGACUGUGUUAACGGUGUCUCACAAGAUCGCGCCGAUGGGAGAAACUAUUAAAAGUUUUCAUAAAACUAAAAUACGGAAUUAACACGAAAUAAAAAUGUCUGAAGAGCACUGAAAGUAUCUUUCCUUGACUACCGUGAGCGUGCUUGAUUGAUCCACAUGGACGUAACGAGAUGACCGGAAUGCUCACAUUGUUUGAACACAUAUGUAAUAUAAGCAAGAACGAGCAUGGAUUCCUAGCAAUGCCACGGGACCAGGAUUAAGCAAAAUUGGUUCCUUGACAGCAUCAUUUGCAUCACUUACAUGAUACCAUCUAUAUUGGAAACGUUUGAUACAGCUUUGUGCAACGUCCAUUGAUAACGGAUUGGUCAAUAAAUGUCAAAAAUUUCUUUAAGAGCCGGAGUGGCAUCAUUAUCUCUCUUGUAAUAAAAUAUUCAAAUGUAUCUUCUUCGUUCUUCGAUUCGACCUUGCUCGAAAUACUUGAUGGAAGCUCGCCUUUCGAUAAUCGCGCGGCACUAUUGCCAAAUUAAUUGUUUAACAUUAACAAAAUUAUAUCGGAUGUCAUUAUUCAUUAGCCGGUAGAAUGCUAGGAAACAUUUGAAUAAGGAAUGUGACGCAAAAGGGUAGAAGAACUAGGUUUCAACAAUUAUUGUCAGUUAUAAUCUUACAUAACUGGGAUGGUUGCUUUUGUACUGAUUUCUACAGUUAAUUUUAUUAUUGUUUUUUCUCGCGACUAUUAUUUAUGUAUAUAAUUUAAGAUUAGAAACUAGUGCGAUUUAAUGUUAAUAUUGUCAUCUGCCGACAAGUUGAAAGAUAUGGAAGAUAAGUGUAACUCCGGGGAAUCGCACGGUGCAAAAACCAAAGAACCGGACUUUCUUUUAACAAGCAACACUUACAAAUCUAUUAAAGAAGACAGUUAUUAAACAAGGAAGAAAAAGAAGCUAUAGGCGAAGCGUAUAUACGCACCGAAAGAAUAAAAAAAUGAUGAUGCUGUGAUAGAUGAAUAUCUAGAAAGUAGAGCGUCUUUUGUAGGAUCAAGUCUUUCUGUAACAAUUAGAGUAUCUAAGCCUCCAAAAAUUAUCGAUGUUGCCGACGGUUUGACAAACUUGGUUCUUCAAAAACGACUAGUCUACCCUAUGCAGGAUUUAUAUGUCAUUCUAUAAUCCUUCUGGAAACACCGUCCUUAAGUCUAUUGAAAAUGUUUAAGAUCAACCGCUUGUACGGCAAUGGCGUAAUAUAUAUUCGCAAUU
Vespula vulgaris is the source of this 7000-nucleotide long non-coding RNA. RefSeq lists it as uncharacterized. Lineage: Eukaryota; Metazoa; Arthropoda; Insecta; Hymenoptera; Vespidae. The record is from RefSeq and is a predicted model, not a curated record. The transcript has 8 exons.